Molecule: long non-coding RNA, 743 nt
Organism: Homo sapiens (human)
Lineage: Eukaryota; Metazoa; Chordata; Mammalia; Primates; Hominidae
Exons: 2
Source: RefSeq, a predicted model, not a curated record
CUGAGCUUCCUCCCCUCCAGUGCUGAAAUGGGAAGGCGUUCAAAUUCCCAGCCUCCCAUCGGGACUCCACUUCCUGCUCACUAAUGUCACAAAGAAAACCAAGAGUUCUGUCGCCCGGAAGGACGCUGCGGCCAGAGUCUCUCCCUCAAGCUUGGCCAGGGAGGGUGAGAAGUGGAAUGAAGGGGCCCUGGCGGUCAUUCCUCCUUCGGACCAGUGAGCUCGUUAACUGAGAAGCUGACUGUAAUGUUUGGAAGUAAUUAGGGCUGCAUCCAAUUGCUCCAGGAACGGGGUUCCUUUCAUUGGAUGAAAAAGAAAGUUACUUUAACCCUCUGGGAAAUAUCACAGGAGGUUCAACUUGUGUGCACACACAUUUGCAUUAAUAUUUGCUGGUUACUGCAUCACCUUCCACAUACUGGGAAUUUCGGUUUAUUUUGCGGAAAGAAGGGGUAAAGUAGGAAUCUUGUUCUUGUCUUUCUGCGGGGAACAGCUUCCCUGGGCUCCCCCCUUUCUCUGGCCACUGAGUUAAAUGCUUUUCAGGGUCUUACCCCAGAGUCCUCGGACCUCAGGCUCCUGACCCUCUCUGACCUGCUCAUGUUCUGCCCACCUUAGAGACGUGAUGGCCAUUUCCUGUAUCUGACCCACCCUGUCUUCCCAGGCUGGGGACACUGCUAGUCAAUGGUUGGCUAGUGGACCUAGCACCCCAUAUAAAACUGGGCUGGAAUAAAAACUGCUUCUGGAAUGGC